CUAUUUAUCCGCAUUACAAAUACAGUAACGUUAGUUAUCGCUGAACUUUAGUGGCGCUUGUUGUGACGAAAAUAUGCGUGUUUUUUUUUUAAGAUUUACUUUUAUGAGAUCACCUGCAGGAAGCAGGUGAGGAGAUCAGCUGUGAUUCGGUCCGGCGUCAGCGAGCGGCUCAUGACCAGACCAGUCGUUGUUUUCUCCAUGAUCGCCGGGGCAGCAGCAGUUUUAACCCGCCGAGGCUUUUAGAACAUUAUAAAGCAGUUUCAGCUCAAAAUGGACCCGUGAGUGUCACUACCAGUUUGUGAGCUGAUAUGCAGUGGAAAUUGACAUCCAGAAGGAAGUCAUAGAGGAAACACCAGCUGAUGCAAGUGCUGCAGAAGAAUUCAAUCGAAUAUCAGGAAGAAAUGUGAGAUCCAAGUUCUACGCUGCAUUGGACACACACUGCUCGUUUGAUUGAAAUAAAAAAAAAAAAAAACAGGAGAAAAUUGCAGAAGAAAACUAGAAGAAAUUUUCAACAUGUUAAUUCAAAGGUCAUCUGGCAGCAGUUUUCCGGGGUCUUUCAGUCCUUUAGAGGGAUGAGUCUAAAGAAAUUUUCAGGAUGUGUUUUGAUGUAAUUGUAGAGUCGGACUUCAGUGCAGAAGAUGUUGGCCUGCUGACUGUCGUGUGUGAAGAUGUCUAAAGAACCUCAUUAUGGAUGCAAUGUGGGCCUUUAUACUGGAAGGAAAAGUGGUUAUGGACUUUGCCACAUGCAGUAUGUCUCUUUUUUUGCUUUGAUUUACACACUGAAUUCGGACUACCCAAAGACUUUGAGCAAUGCAUUUGAAUUUGUUCAAUGUGUGUUGCUUUUGCUGGGAGGGAAGCGUAAUGUGUUUUAUUCGGCGAGUGCCUAUAUACUGCUGUGCUUUAUGUUUAAAGGUUCAGGUAUAAUGGCAUGUUUAAUUACAAAGUGUUGCUUUUUAACAUGUUGCUGUUUGCAGUGUUACAUUUAGGACUGCAGCAUUUUGGUGUUUAAAACACUUUUUUUUUUUUUACCAAAAAAGUGUAUUGUGAUUUAUAGGGUUGUCAAAAGUAUUGAGUUUGGUACC
Molecule: long non-coding RNA, 1082 nt
Filed under: Danio rerio (zebrafish)
Lineage: Eukaryota; Metazoa; Chordata; Actinopteri; Cypriniformes; Danionidae
Description: lncRNA si:rp71-3c13.3 (ENSDARG00000092341.4)
Source: RNAcentral